This 72-nucleotide transfer RNA is filed under the name Marmota marmota marmota (Alpine marmot). It matches the Rfam family "tRNA". Rfam says of the family: Transfer RNA (tRNA) molecules are approximately 80 nucleotides in length. Their secondary structure includes four short double-helical elements and three loops (D, anti-codon, and T loops). RNAcentral also lists the same sequence under 1 other name. Lineage: Eukaryota; Metazoa; Chordata; Mammalia; Rodentia; Sciuridae. The record is from Rfam by way of RNAcentral.
UGGGAUGUGGCUCAGUGGUAGAACACAUGCCUAGCAUGCUUGAGGCCCUGGAUUCUAUCCCCAGCACCCCCU